UACGUAGGGUGCAAGCGUUAUCCGGAAUUAUUGGGCGUAAAGAGCUCGUAGGCGGUUUGUCGCGUCUGCUGUGAAAACCGGAGGCUCAACCUCCGGCCUGCAGUGGGUACGGGCAAACUAGAGUGCGGUAGGGGAGACUGGAAUUCCUGGUGUAGCGGUGAAAUGCGCAGAUAUCAGGAGGAACACCGGUGGCGAAGGCGGGUCUCUGGGCCGUAACUGACGCUGAGGAGCGAAAGCAUGGGGAGCGAACAGG
Molecule: ribosomal RNA, 253 nt
Filed under: uncultured bacterium
Lineage: Bacteria
Description: partial 16S ribosomal RNA
Rfam family: Bacterial small subunit ribosomal RNA
Source: RNAcentral